CUGAGUGUAAAAACUCCCAACCCUUUGUGAACAUACCUCUGUUGCUUCGGCGGAUGCGCCCCGGGCGCGCCUCCUAGGAGGCGUGCCCCGGAACCAGGCGCCCGCCGGGGGACCUACAAACUCUUGUAUUCCUAGCGGAUCUCUGAGUGUGAUUUAAACAAAUCAAAUCA
RNAcentral lists this unclassified non-coding RNA (170 nucleotides) under uncultured Ascomycota. RNAcentral's name for it is "sequence contains ITS1". RNAcentral also lists the same sequence under 2 other names. The record is from RNAcentral. Lineage: Eukaryota; Fungi; Ascomycota.